Molecule: small nuclear RNA, 105 nt
Organism: Suricata suricatta (meerkat)
Lineage: Eukaryota; Metazoa; Chordata; Mammalia; Carnivora; Herpestidae
Source: Ensembl
GCUCAUUUCAGCAGCACAUAUGCUAAAGUUAUAACGAUACACAGAGGAUUAGCGUGGUCUCUAUACAAGGAGGACACACAAAUUUGUGAAAUGUUCCAUAUUCUG